AAUUGAGAAUUAUAUUUCAACCAAACUCCAAGAUUAUAUAGGUAGUGCUCAUAGAUAUAAUCAGCAAGUGGAUGUGCACAACCCUGUCUUAUGAUAACACGAAGUCGUAUGUCAUUAGACAUCUUGUAUGAUAGUGGCAAAACACCAUUCCAAAGUUGGGUUCACCUCAUCCUAUUCGGUUCACCAAAAACAACGGUUAAAUGACGUAUAACAUACGACACACUUAUCUAAAAUUCUCAAUAAAAUUAUUUCCAUACUGUUUAGGGGAAACCUCAAUAGCUAUAGACCACCGUUCUAUUCCCCUGUUACCCCCGCUCGAUCCAGCUACACUCUUAUUACCUGAAAGGAAUUGUGAAGCAAAAGGGUGAGCACAAAUAGCCCAGUAAAGAAUAUUAUGACUAAGAUAAAUAAUUUAUCAAUAGCCUUCAUCAGUAAUAAAUCAGAGAUUUAGAACAUAUGGUAGAUAAUAAAACUUUUCAACCAUAGUUGCAACGGAACGAACAAUCCAUUAGAAGAGUCAAAUAGAUUAUACAGUCUAUUAUCUUCUCCAUGUUAAAAGUCCACCAAUAAUGUUUUAUCCCUGUAACAUCAAUCAACAGUUCAUGUUCACAAUCAUGUGAAUAACUCAUAAUCAUAAUUGUGGUUCUAAAUUCCUCUUCGCACCCAGGACGAAGAUAAUUUUUAUCACAUGUCUUUACCUGAAACAUCAAAGAUUAUGGUUAUACCAAAUCACAGUUCUUAUUCAUAAUCAUACUAAUAAAUUCAUCUUUGCACUACGGGCCAAAGAUAUUCAUCAACAGUUCAUCUUUGCACUACAGGCAAAAGAUAUUCAACAACAGGUCAUCUUUGCACUAUUGGCCAAAGAUUUUAAUAUCUCAAAGAAAUAUAUAAUCAUUUCAGAAUUUAUAUAAACAAUAAUUAUAACCAUGUUGAUCAAUUCACCUUUGCACUUAAGCUAAAGAUAUUCAAUUAUAAAUUCAAUGGUCAUGAUCAUACCAGUCAACAAUUCAUCUUUGCACUACUGCCCAAAGAGAACUCAUAGUCAUGAUCAUACCAAUAAUCUACCCAUCUUUACGCUCAAGUGAAAGAAAAAUUUCAUCACCGAGAUUAUAAAAAUGUUAUAUAUGAUAAUAAAAACAAUAUGAUCAAAACAUGGACUUAAUUUUAAGAGUAAGAUUCAUAAAUCAACGAUAUUUUGGUCAGAAAAAGAAACCAAUUUUGUCGUGAAUAGUACCCCGUGAAUAGUAACUCGUGAAUAGUAAUCCAUGCAUAGUACUCCGUAUUUAUAAAUAGUAUCGUAUAUGUGAAUAGUUCUGUAUACGUAAAUAGUGCCUUAAACAUGAAUAGUACCGUAUACGUGAAUAGUUUCGUAUACGUGAAUAGUAACCUCAACAUGAAAAGGUAAAAUUUCAUAAUAAAAUUCAUACCAAUAUUUCGGUAUAAUGAUAUUGAAAAAAAUAAUAUCAUUUAUGAAAAAAAUAACAUCCCUUACCAUCCCUUACCUCAAAAGAACAGUACUUCUGACUAGAAUAUCGGAUAUAAUGCUGAAGAAAACUUGCACUGAAUAACAACACUCAAAGUAUCGAAAAUACUCACAAAAAUACGCUCAAUAAUAUAGAGAGAGAAAACUUCAGAUUCUGGUGUGAUUUUCAAUUCUAACCUAAACACCCUAUUUAUAGGAAAAUGCUUAGAACACCAAAGCAGCAAAUUUAAUAAAAUAAUAUUAUUUAUUAAAAAUUUUCCUACGCACACUUUGAAAAUCUAAUUUUAGAAUUUUACACCAACCAAUAGGGCCCACCAACACACAAAACAUGUUUUAUCAUUUAAUGCGAAAAAAUUAAUUCGAACCCAAUAUUCUAGAACUUCAAUAAUUCAUAAUAAAUAGCCAUUUUAUCAGAAAAAUUUGAAUCGUAUGUCCAUUCCAUAGAAAAUUUAAUUCUCUACAACUUUGUAGAAGAAAGUUUUUCCAAAUUCUAAAGGAAAAAUGACUGAAAUCCACAUACGAAUGAUCUUGAAGGCUGUAAUCAAAUUUCAGUCAAAAAUGGGGCCCACUAACAUGUUUAACAUGUUUUUUGUAACAAAAAUACUUUUCCUCCUCAUUUAUUCAUAUACUGUGAAUUUAGUGUAAAAAUAUCACCAUUAUUAUAUUAUUAUAUUAUCACAUUAUACAUUUAUAAUGUAAUAUAAGAAUAUAUUUGAAUGAAUUAUUUUAUCAGAAAAGAUAAAAUCAGUUUUCAACAAUUGUCACUUUUCUAAAAAAAUUCCUUCAUUCUGACAAAAUACUGAUAAAACACCUCAGCAUUAACUCCUUCAUUUAUAUCCACAUAAAAUAAAUAUUUUCUUAUCAUAUAAAUUAAUAAUUAAUUAUUCUCAAAUAAUAUUACAGAAUCCCAAUAAUGAUAACCAGGUCGUUCCUAGGAAAGAGGGGGCCUUCCGGUAAGGAUUUCUCCUUACUGGCGCACAAUUAAAUAACAUAACCCCUUUCCUCGACAGAAUUUUCUAGACAUUGUCAAUAAUGUUAUCUAAUAAUAUUAUUCAAAUAAUAUGAAUUAUUGGUUUGAUAAUGUAAAGUACUGUGUAGUGACAAUUAUUAAAACAACAAUAAUAUAAAAUAAUGUGCAAUACCGUGUGCUACUAUGUAUUACUGUAUUUUAACCACCGGGUAUUCUAACAAUGUUAACGGUAACAACUACGCCGUUAUUUAUAAAAAACUUUUACUUACCGUUUUCUUCAUCCGACAAUUUUCUGUUAUGGGGCCCACAAAUGGUUGUGCCGUCAUACGAAUAUUCCCCGACAGCAAGAAUAUUCCACGACCAAACGAAUAUUCCCCGAUAACAAUGAAUAUUUUAUAACCACUUGCUUAUUUUGUAAAUUUUACAUAUAUCACCCUUAACUUUAACUUUUUAUCAAUUUAGUCAUUUACUGAAUAAUAAUUAUAAGAAAAAUUAAAUACUUUUAUUUCAUAAAAUUUGGGGUCUUACACUUGGCGUCAAUUGAUUGCUAUCUAAAGCAUCAACAGCUCACUACUCAAAGCGUCAAUAAAUGAACUGUUUCCAUCUUGCUCUCUUUUUAAAGCGCUAAGGGUGAUUGCUUUUGUGAGUGAGUUAAUCAAUAUGUUGACAUAUAUUUAGUGUAUGUAUAUCCAAUAUGUAUAAUAAUCUGUGUGAACAUCUAAAAUUUAUCAUAUGCGCUAAAAUAACCAAACAUAAGUGGAAAUAAAUGAAUCUCGCAUAAAUGAUAAAUAUCUUGAAAUAACAAUGAAUAUUUCUAAUAUAAGCCAAAUAAUGAGUGAUUACAAAGAAAUAAGAAAGUACAUCAAACCCUAUAAAACCCUAAUGAACUAAAAUGUCUACAAAAAAUAUAUUUAGGAAUUGGCUUCGUCAAGGGAUCAGCAGUAAGACCCCAUCUGAUUAUGAAUAAAAAUUAAAUUUUCUCUAUUUAUUAUCUUGAAAUAAUAAGGAGUUAAUUUGAUAUAAUACUUUGGUUAUGGGUGAAAUGUGCAAAUUUUAUAAAAUAAGCAAGUGGUUAUAAAAUAUUCAUUUUUUAUCGGGGAAUAUUCGUUUGGUCGUGGAAUAUUCUUGUUGUCGGGGAAUAUUCAUACGACGGCGCAACCAUUCGUGGGCCUCAUAAUAGAAUAACUGUCAGAUGAAGAAAACGACAAGUUUGAGUUUUUAUAAAUAACGGCGUAGUUGUUACCGUUAGUACUGUUGGAAUACCCGGUGGUUAAAAUAUAGUAAUACGCGUGGUUUCACAGUAGCACACGGUAUUGCAUAGUAUUUUUGAAUUAUUGAUUCUUACGUAAGAAGGCACUACUCAAUAAUUGUUACAGUAAUUACUUUUCAAUAUUUUAUUUUAUUGAUUCAAUAAUUGCUGCGUUGAUAUUUUAUAUUAUUGUUGUUUCAAUAAUUGUCACUGCACAGUAUUUCCCAUUAUCAGAUCAAUAAUUCAUAUUAUUUGAAUAAUAUUAUUAGAUAGCAUUAUUGGCAAUGUCUAGAAAGUUCUGUCAAGGAGAGGUUUGGUCACCUAAUUGCGCGCCAAUAAGGAGAAAUUCUUAUUGGAAAGCCCCCUCUUUCCUGGGAACGGCCUGGUUGUCAUAAAUGUGAUUCUGUAAUAUUAUUUGUGAAUAAUUAAUUAUUGAUUCAUAUGAUAAGGAAAUAUUUAUUUUAUGUGGAUAUAAAUGUUGGAUAUAUUUAUUGUGGUUAAAAAUGAAGGAGUUAAUGUUGAGGUGUUUUAUCAGUAUUUUUGUCGGAAUGAAGGUAUUAAAAAUUAAACCAGUGUUUUUGAGAUAUAUUGCGUGAGUUAUAAUUUUUAAUCCGACCGUUGGAUCGUUGUAAUUUUUGGAUAUGUUAUACAUAUAUAAGUUGAGUAUAUGUCCACAAAUUUUGAACCGUUAAAAAUGAACGUAUGAUUUGUUAUGAAUUUUAAGAGGUGACUGAUUCAGAAAUUAGGUUUAUAAAUGAUUUUGGUGGAAAAUUCUAGAAUUGAGUGGGCCCCACUUGUGGUUGGUGAAGAAAUGUGCUGAAUUUUAUUUCAAAUGUGGUGGGUGGCAAUAGUAGCAGGUAAAGCCAUCAGGUAGCAUGUCAAGUCUGCUUCGGCGUGCUAACAUUUUCCUAUAAAUAGAGGGCUAAGUUAGAAUUGAAAAUCACACCAGAAACAUAAGUUUUCUCUCUCUAUCUCUAUAUUAUUGAGCGUAUUUUGUGAGUAUUUAGAUAUUUUGAGAGUUGCUGUUCAGUACAAGUUUCAUUCAGCAUCACUUCCGACCUUUCAUUCCGAAGUACUGAUUCUUUGAGGUGAAGGAUGUUAUUUUCUUCUGAAAUGAUAUUAUUUUCUUCAAUAUCAUUAUGCCGAAAUAUUGGUUUGAACUUUUUAAUCAAAUUUGGAACUUUUGUGUCGGGAUUACUAUUCACAUAUACGGCACUAUUCACGUAUACAACACUAUUCACGAAUACGACAUUAUUCACCGAAAAAUGAAAUUUUCUCUUUUUCGUCCCAGAUGUCUUUUAUAGUUACUAUCUUUGAUUGUAUCCAUGUUUUGAUCUUUAUUUUUGAAUUCUACUUCACACUUGGUUAUUAUGGAGUAUUAUUGAAUUUGGAUAAACCGAAAUAUGAAUCCCUAAUAUUUGUCCUUCUGUCUCACUGGAUUCGUUCUCUAAAAUGUUUUUCAUCAUCCUCAGUCCUUAAUGGUGAUACUUGAUGAAUAUCUUUGGCCUGUAGUGCAAAGAUGAAUGAUUACCUGAUGAAUAUCUUUGGCCCGUAGUGCAAAGAUGAACAGGUGUUGAGAUGAACAUGACCAACUGGUGAUACAAAUGAAUAUCUUUGGCCCGUAGUGCAAAGAUGAAUAUUUGAUCCAAGAUGUAUAUUGAUUGAUGUUACAGGGAUAAAAUAUUGAUGAUGGACUUUUAAAUUCAUAGAUGAUAGUAGAUUUCAUUCUCUACUUAACUCUUCUAAUGAAUUGUUGUUUUCGCUGCAGUUGUUGAUCUAAAACUUGUUGUCGAUUAUAUUCUAUCAGAUUUUUCCCUGUUGAAGACUAAUGAUAAUUUAUUGUAUAUUAUCUUAGUCAUAAUAUUCUUUAUUGGGCUAGUUGAGCUCACCCUUUUCCUUUUUGUUCCAUUUUUCUUCUCAAGAAGCGAGAACAUAGCAGGAACCAGUCGGGGUAUAGAGUGAUGGUCCUAGAUAGUUGUUUUAGCAGUCCUCACUAAUUUUGUAAACUAGUACAUCAAUAAUUGUAAUGAGGACUUUAUUUGGGUGUUGAUAUUGUCUAGAAGACAAUAUUUGUAUUUAAACUCACAGUAUGUGUUGUAGUAUUUUGCACGAUAAUUGUAUUAAUAAAGUUGUAGUUAUUUUUCUGUACCAUGUAUUUGGCGACUCAGAAUGGGUGAUGUAUACCUAUUUUGGGGGCGUCACAUUAGCUACCAUAAGUCUAGUGGGCAUGUACUCCAAAAUCACCUCAUUAUUUGCUAUGUUAUCUCUGAUGAAGUUCAUCCUCAAGUCAAUGUGCUUCAUCCUGCCAUGAUACUUGGGGUCCUUAGUGUAAUCUAGGGCCGCCGUGCUAUCACAGAAAAUAGUCACAGGAUCUGAAGCAUGAGGGACGACUCCCAGAUCCUCGAAGAAUCUCCUCAGCCACAUGGCUUCCUGAACAGCUAACGUACAAGCUACAAACUCCGACUCCAUCGUAAAAAGAGAAACACAAGUUUUUUUCUUGCUACACCAAGUAAUGGCACCACCAUGUAGCAAGAAUGCAUAUCCUGAGGUCGACUUGUGCGUCCCCUGGUUGCCUCCCUAACUGGCAUCAGAGUAACCGAUCAAUCGCAGGUCCGACCCUCCAUAGCAUAACAUGUAGUCCAAAGUACCUUUCAAAUAUCGUAAGAUCCUCUUGAUUAACCUCCAAUGAGCAAUCCUAGGGUUUGACUGAUACCGACUGAGAUAACCAACUGUGUAUGUUAUAUCAGGCCUAGUACACACAACUGCAUACAUUAGCUUUCCUAUACAUUGACAUACGAGUAAUGGGACAUCUUUUUAAUUUCCUCGGGAGAAGUAGGGCAUUGCUCGGGUCCAAUAGCAUCGCCUUUAGCGAUAAGAGUGUCUAUGGGUUUGAAGUUGUUCGUUUGGAAUUUCUCAAGAACCUUCUUAAGGUAAGUCUCUUGAGACAAACCAAGAAGCUUUCUUGAGUGAUCUCUAUAGAUCUUAACCCCAAGAACAUAAGUUGUUCCCCCAUGUCUUUCAUCUCAAAGUUAGAGGACAACCACCCUUUUGUGGCGAUAAUCAUCUCUUUAUCGUUCCCAGCUAGUAGGAUGUCAUCGACAUACAUAGAUAAGAUAAGGAAUUUAUCUUUGGACCGUUUGAUAUAUACACAACGGUCUUCCUCGAUUAUCGUAAACCCAUCACUAAUAACGACUUGAUGGAAUCUCAAAUACCAUUGUCUAGACGCCUGUUUCAGACCAUAGAUAGAACGUUUGAGCUUGCAUACUUUACGCUCUUCUCCUUCUAUGACGAAACCAUCUGGCUGAUCCAUGUAUAUUUCUUUAGCUAAAUCUCCAUUGAGAAAAGUUGUUUUAACAUCCAUUUGAUAUAACUCCAGAUCUAAAUGGGCGACAAUCGCUAGUGUCGACGUCGGGAUUUUUAUUAUCCCUUUUAUGUUCUUGUUCUUUGGUGUUCUCAUGUUAGGUGAGAUUUGUUUGAAAAAAUAAGUUGUGAAAAGGUCCGACAUGUAUAUGUCGACGAUUGGAUUGUAAGAGUCGCCAAUUGGUUUUUUAAAUGGUUGUACCAACACAACCGAGAAAAGGUUUGCACAUUGACCACGUGAUAUAACACUGUGUAACUGGUCUGUGAAACCGAGAUUCGUUAGGGUCCGGGGGCUUGAUUAUGCGGAGGGAAGGUGUUAGGUACCCCCGACAUCCGUGUUACCAUGGUGACCGCUACUUUUCAAUAAAACUAUCAUAUGAAUGUGUGUAUGUGUGGGUCAAUGUGCAAUUAUUUGGAAGUAGUGUGAGGCCUCGUUCACACCUAUAUACAAAGGGUUUGAAUUUGUGUAAAAAUUCAUUUAAAAAGAUAUAGCAGUGAUGUUUUGUAAAAGUGGUUUUUCAAACCCUUAUGCUCAAUAGUAAUUGAGGCCUUUGGUACUUUCAUUUUAUUAAAUGUUCGACUUGAUUGCUAUAAUUUUUCGAGAUGCGAAGCAUCGCUGAGAAAAUAAUGUAAAAAGCAGUGUCGAACUUCUUAUGGGCAUGAGAGCCAUCUAAGGAAAUUCAGACACCUUGAAUAAUUUACAAGCUGCUUAUAGCUAAAAAAUGUCCAUCACGGUAACCGAAUCUAGAUUCAGUAGACUGAAUCUAUGAUCACAUGAUUCCUAGGCUCACAUGAUGCCUCAGUUAAUAUGAAAGUUGUACACAGUUAUAUAUAUAAAAGCUAUAUAUAUAUAUAUAUAUAUAUAUAUAUAUAUGAUCAACCACCACGAAGCACCUCCAUGGGGGAUCAGAAAUGUAAAUAUAUAGAAGCUGUAAAUAUAUAUAUAUAGAUGAUCAACCACCACGAAGCACCUCCAUGGGGGAUUAAAAAUGUAAAUAAAGCAAUAAAACGAUCAACCACCACGAAGUAAACUCUAGGCGGGACGAAAAGUAAAUAAAGCAGUAAAAUGCCACGAAGUAAACUUCGGGCCUGACAGAAAAUAUAAAUAUAAAUAUAUAUAUAUAUAUAUAAAUAUAUAUAUAUAUAUAUAAGCGAUAAACAUGCCGGAUGUUUCUCAAUCUAGGCUCGGUUUAUCAUUUCAGCGAUAUAUAUAUAUAUAUAUAUAAAAGUAGUAAACUGUAAUACCCAAGAAUUUUCACGUAUUAUUGAAUGAAUAUAUUAAUGGAAAUAAAAUUUCUAUGAAUAAAAGUGUUAUUAUUUUGAGAGUUGGUUAAUUCAAUUGAUUCGAAUUAGAUCAAUGCGUAUUAAGAAGUUUGAUGUGACGAUGAGAAUUUUGAAAUGCCUUGUGUGGCAUAAUGUGAAACGAGAGAAUUUACUAAGCGAGUUGAAAUGGGAAUUAAGAAGAUUAAUCGGGAAUGAUUAUGUGUUUUCAUAUAAGUAAUCAAUACGCUCGUAGGCGGGUAGUAACACCUUUGUGGACAUCAAUUCAUGUCGUAUAAAAUGAAUUUAGCAUUGAAAAUUGACACGGGCUGAAGCUAAACCAGUCUUGGCACUGUCAGGGCACGACGCAGCUGCGCCGUCCCAGCAGUACAAACUGGCGCAGCUGCGCCAGGGGUCAGUUGGAGAAAAAUUAAUUCUUCUACUUUGGAAAAUUAAAUGAAACAACUAUGUGAUUUGUGUGACAUUGGUGAACCAUGAAAUAAAGUGCACAAUUAAUUAAUAUUAAAUGAUAAUUUUUAUAUUAAUUAAUUGUUAACGGUUGUGGUAGAAUAUUGAAUUCUUAGUAGUUAACUAAUAAUGCGUGAUUACUGCUAUUUGCAAUAUGUUAUAUAGAUAAAUAAUGAUUAUGGAAAUCCAUAAAUAUAUUGAUCAAUGAUGAUUGGAUUAAUUAAUAAUGGUGUUAAUUAAUCAAGGAAGUGAAUAAAUUAUUUAUUUAUAUGAUCAUUUUAUAUUAACAGUUAUGCGUAUAAGAGCAAUAAUACAACUAUAUUAUAUAGAGCAGUGUGACAUUUGUGUGACUAUAUAUAUUAAGUCUUAUAAAACUAUAUUGUAAGAGGCAAUGUGAGUAAGCAUAUUGGAACUAUAUGUUAUAAAUACAUUAUCUAUGUGACAAUAUGUAUGUGGGUAUGUAUUAAAAUAAUAUACCAUGAACACAUUGUAAACUAUCAUUUUGAUAAAAUGUACAUGGAUUAUAUGUAUGUUGCAUAACAUCUACUACCUUGAAAUGUUAAAGCAUAUUGUGAAAUUUAGUUAUAAUAUAUGGUUGAGAUGUGUAUUAAAAUAUAACAUAAGAGUGAGAUUGUGUAGGAGUAUACAAGAAUGCUGAGUUAUAUUAGAUUGUCCCAAAAUGAUUGUCCCAUUUUCUCAUUUCUCAGUCACGUGUAAAACAAAAGGCUAUGGCCUAUGUUCUUCCUUUUCUUCCAAAGCUUACUAGCUAAUGAUCAUGGGGGGAGUGGCAUUCAUGAUGCAAAUCAACCACCAAUUACCUACUCUUUGAUAACCUUCAUGCAAUUCUUCCAUCCUUUGGGUUGAGUUCUUGGAUAAUGGCUUGGCAUGGUCAAGAAAUUUUCUAUAAAUUGAAUAUUUCCCUUCAUCCUUUGUGUUGCUUGAAAUUGUCUGAGAAUUGCUUAGUGUAAGAUUGAGAGCAUACAAGUGUUCUAGGAGCUUGAAAGUUCAUUAGGAGCAAAUUCUUUUGCAUUAUAAAGGUAUAAUUCUUUUUUUUCCUUGCUUCCAUUUCAUUCUCUGUAAAACUAAGUUUUUAAUUCUUGAAAUAUCAAAUUAUUGUUUUGGUGGAAUUGGAUGUUAAUAAGGUUGGGUAUUGGUUAUAAGGUUGUUAUAUGACCAUAGAAACAUGUUUAAACUAAUACAUGAUUGUUUGGAAUCGAAUUGGUAAAUAAUUUUAGAGGUUGGGCCAGCUUUCUGCCGAAGCAGACUGCUUCUGCGCCUGAACCAGGCACGGCGCAGCUGUGCCACAUUUGUAUUGAGGUGCAGGGCAGCUCCGCCGGUCCCUGUUUUCAGUUGAAUGUUCUGUUUGCAAGUCUGAUCAAUAUGAGCUAGUUGUUAUGACUCAAACUAGCAUGUAAACGUGUAUGAUGUAUAUAUGGGUAUAUUAACUCAAUAAGAACAUGUUUUAAUAGACUUGCAUGAUUAACGAAAGUAUAUGGUUUAAAUAGAGAUUUGGACUUUAAGUUUUGAAAACAAACUAUGUUAAAGAUCAUGUUCUACAAAUUGUGAACCUAGUAAGCUAUACAUGACCGAUUCUUCACACAGAUGAGCAUAUUGUAGUGUACAUAGUUCCUUUGAGCAUGAUCAAACUUAUUAAGCCUUGUUUUAGAAAUAUUUUCAAGAAAAGACUUGGCCUAGUGAGCUAACAUGCAUGAUUUCUACAUGAUGUAUAUUCUGACUUUGCAAGCAUGUUAGUAUGACUUAGAAAUGCAUGAAUAAACCAUUUUCUUGUGUUUAUGUGAAUAGUGAGCAUUUUGAACCUACUAGUAAGUUUAGAAUAUGAAUAUUGUCAUGAUACAUUGAAGACUAGAAUCUGACAUUUGUGAUCAUGUUUGAUGAAGCUCUUAGACUUACUCAUGUAGUGUAACCAUGGAUAUAUCAUGCUCGUGUGUCAUAUUUCAAACAAAGCAUAUUUUCAACUAAAGCGGUGUUAGUUUCACGUAUGUGGUAUGAAUACUCACAAGCAUGCCUAAUAUAAGUUUUAUAACUAUCUUGUAUGUUUAGAGAGCAAGUAUGAUAGACCUUGUGAUUUAAUGACCUUGAAUGGCCUUAAAUUAUUGAGAUGAUCAAGCUUAGAACCAUGUUAUGCAAGAAGGAACCUAGAUUGAUCUAAGAAGCAUGUGAAAGCCUUUAACAUGAUAAAAUAUGAUUGUGUGUUCAAGCUAAACAGAAACCACAAGGCAGCAGCUAAGUCUUGGCUUGGCCAGAGGACAGCUCAGCUGCGCUAGUCUGGAAUCCCAGUUAGUGAAUUCUGACUUUUGGACAGCAACUUGCAUGAUGCCUAUGAUGCUAAAUGUGAUCUAAAAACUACUGAUAUAUAUAGUGAUGCCUAGUUGAUAAGUUGGUGUUGCAUUGUAAUGGAAAGUCCAUGAGUAAUGAGGUCUUAACCUUGAGCAUUCUUGAUUUGUUUAUAACUAAGUAUUUGAUUCAUGAUGACUUAUGAACUGACUUUUGUACCAUAUGUGCAUACCAUAUCAUGUCAAACUUGAUUAAAGAUUGUGUUCGCUAAUGAACAUCUUGAACUUAUAAUACGCUAUAAAUAGGAUUCGAAAGUGUUAAUUUAUUAACGUGGAUAAACUACGCUUAAGGCAAGUUUCUCCAACCUUACUCAAAUUUAUGUUGUGCAAGUAUCUUAAACCCUUGCAUUAUUUUAUUCGACAAAUACCAUAAGCUUAUCCCUUUGAAUACAAGUUAUAUUACUUUCUCGUUCAAAUGAGCUAGUAUGUUAAACCCUUGUGAAAGCUAUUAUUCAUGUUGAAAUUGGUAUUGUCCUUGAAUAUUGUGAAAGAGUCGAUGCCAUUUGAUUCAGCUAGACUAUAUGCAUGUUUAUGAAAACUGUCCAAACCAAUUGAUUGGUGCGGAAAUCUUAAAAACUGAGUUGAACAACCCUUAUGGUAAGGGGAGUGUAUGUUGUUGGAAACCCCAACACAUGAAUAAUUUAUUAUUGUGGUGUUAUGCAUAACGUAAAGUAUUGUAGAUUGAUCCUCUAUAGUACUUGAUAUUUUUGGGUUAUCAGUUUAAUAUUGGUAACUCUAGUGGAAGUUCAAUAGUCCUUAGUGACUACUCAGUAUAAACUGUUUAUCCAAUUGGAUACCUUGAUAGUCAUUGAAUUCAUAUAUAUCUGUUGAUUUAUAUUGAAUUAUCGUUCUUAUUCAAAGAAUUGUUGAUAUUUCUUAUCCCUGAUGUUAUUCUGAUACUUUGAACUAUCCUAGAAAUGACACAUCGAUAUUUCAAACCUUGUGAUAUAUAUCCUACACCCUUUUUGUAUAUUACUUGUUGGGCAAUUUGUGCUCAUCCUUGCUUAUUUAAAACCUUUCAGUUCAGGAGGAACAUGAAGGUGUCUCUGGAACAGACAAGGGCAAGGGCAACGGCAAGGGCAAGGCUACCGAAUAGCUUGUCUUUUUUAUGUUUAAAUUCUAUUAUGUUGUAUUAAGACUAUUUCAGAUUAUGUUUAAGCUUAAGUAAGAUCAUGUAAUAAGUCUUUAUUAGAUAUUAUUAUGUAAUCUAUUAAGCACUGUAGGUUGCGAAACUUGGGGGAAUAAUUAUAAUAAAACAUUGUAUAUUAUUCUAAAGUAGAUUUUCCAUUGUGUAUGCGUUAUUUUAGAUAUUAUAGUUUUACCAUGAGAACAUGAUGAACCGAAUUUGAGUGACCAAGUGGAAGUCCGAAUUUGGGGGCGUCACAUAAACACUCCGGAUAUAAAAUUCAGGCUCAAUCGAGGCAUAACUCGAUAAUGUUAGUCUAGAAAUAUAUAUAUAUAUAUAUAUAUAUAUACAAAAAAAAUAAAAGUCACGGACCGAAGUCCGGGCAUACACAUGCAACACGACUCUCAACGUGAAGUACGGUGUGUGCACAGUAGUGGAGAAAGGCUUUAAGAAAAGCAAGAAGGCUUACAGUGGACUGCCAAAGAAGACUUCAAUAGCUUUAAAUGGAUGAACACUCGACUCCCGCCGGUAAAAUAUAGCAAAGUAUAAGCUCACAAGUGUUUAGUAAUGAGAAAGCACUCAAUUUAUAGUGUGUAUAGAGCAAAUUGGACAGGGUUUCCUCACCUUUUCUCUCUUCAAAAUGGCUGCCCCAAGCCCUCUAUUUAUAGAGGGGGGGACCCACAGGUACACCUGAGGCUGCCCGGGGUGCCCCGGGCUCCGCGGGUCCUGCCGUCUCGAGGUACGUGCACGCGUGCAACGUGAUGUCCGCUCGAACUUUCAGAACAUCAAUCUGAGUUUCCGAUUGAGGUGUAUAAGACCUUUUACGGAAUGCUAUUGUCGAGACCUACACAAAUGACAUGGGAUUAGAGGUUGUACGAAGUUAGGAAGAUGGGACCAUGCCCUUGGUCUUCGAGUCUUCAAAUUCUAUCUGGUGUGUUAUCUUGUGUAGUAGUCACUCGGGAUUGGAGCCGUUGGUUCUUGUAGAACAUCUCUGUGUAGAGUGUAUAUUGAGACGACGCAAUAUGGGAUCGAGGUAGCAAAAUGACAAUUUUGACCCUCACUGGGGUUAUCUCCGGUUUGACCUGAUGUAGCAGUCGUUGCCCAUGGUUAUCUCUGAGAUUAGACUGCUAGAAGUACUGGAUGUCCUCAUGGUUGUCUCUAAGGUGUGCUUGACCUCCCGGGGUUAUCUUCAGGUUUGGUACUGACUGCCUCGGGGUCAUCUCCGAGGUUGAAACUGUUUGCUGGGUUUGAAACAAGCAUUUCCGGAACUGCAACUGCAUUCCUCGGGGUUAUCUCCAAGGUUGACCUGCCUUCUCCGGUGUGAUUUCCAGAAAUUGAAUUGCAUCCCUCAGAGUUAUCUCUGAGGUUGGCCAUAAAGUUCCCGGGGUUGUCUCCGGGACUGGAACUGAUGAUCUCGGUGUUGUCUCCGAGACUGGAACUGAUUUCCUAGGUGUUGUUUUUGAGGUGAAUGAAAUUCCUGGUGUUAUCUCCGGGACUAGACUGAGCCGUCCUCCAGAGCUAUCUCUGGAAGAUGAUUUUGCCCUCCUGCAAUAUUUGUAACAGGAACACAGAAAUUUCGAGUGUCUAUAGCUAGGAUGAGGAGGAUUGAGGCAAACCUCACAACAGGUGAGAAGGUUUCCUCAUUAUCAAUCCCCUCCUGCUGAGUGUAGCCCUUGGCUUACAAGACAAGCUUUGUACCGUUCACUGGAACCAUCCACUUUGCGUUUAACUUUAAGAACCUAUUUGUUCCCCAUAGCCUUUCACCCUAAUGGAAGGUCAACUGUGACGCCCCCAAAUUAAGACCACACUUGUCUUAAAUUUGGUUCCCACGUACUAACUCUAAUAAUAAAUCAAUAUCUCGCAUAGCGGAAUAAUAGAAUAAAUUACAUUAAUAUAACAUAAUUAUUCUUGUCCCAAAGUCUCGCAACCGUGACUAAUACAAUACAACUUACACUAAACAUAGCUUAAUAUAAAUAAGUUCUUCUACAACCAAAUAAUAGUACAUUCCUAGCAUUAUGGAAAUAACUACUCCAAAGCCUUCUCUUUACCCUUGUCCUUGCCAGAGGAUUCACCACGUUUUGCCUUAACCAAAAGUUUUAAGGAAAGGAGGAUGAACAUCAAAUUUUCCUAGCAAGUAAUAUAGCAAUAAGGGUAUUCAAGGUAGUUUUAACUUUCUCAAAGGUAUAUCAAUAAUGAUAAUUCAAGAUAGCAAGAAGUAUCGAUGAUUAACAACAGUAGUCGCUAUGGACAGGAUAUAUCAAUAAUAUUCAACGGUUAAUCAAUUCAAGAUUUUAAAGUAAUGAAAACUGAGCAGUCACUAAGGACUAUAAACUUCUCCUAGAAUUAACAGUAAUAAACUGAUAAUUCUACCAAAUGAGUACAACAGGUGAUCAGCCUAAAGUACCUUAUGUCAUGCAUAACAGUUAAUCUUUCUCAUAUGCGCACAUCGGUUCCCCAACAAAUAUAUAUUUCCCCUACCAAGAGGGUUGUUCAUCUCAGUUAUAAGAGUCCACACCAAGUUAUGCGUAUAGGAUAUUCAUUAGUUGCAUGUGCUCAUUCAUGAUAUGUAAGUUUAACCACACACAUAAACGUCUGACUCUUUACAUAUAACUUGUAUACUUAUCACAACAUCAGUUUAUAAGACACCACAAGGUCAAACAACACAGUUUCUAAUCAUUGCUUUAUAGUUUGCAAAUACCUUUUUGAACUUCAUUCUUGAAAGUUAUAAUCACUUGUUAAAUAUUCAACUCUAUCACUUAGCAUGAUUCUUAACACAUCGAAUAGUAUACUGGUCAUAAUACAAGUUAAAGUAACCAUAUAAGCAUGCUUUGAACACCAAAUUACAAACAGAAUACAAAAGUGACUACAGUAUGGCGCAGCUGCGCCCUGGCUAGGCUUAGGGACGGCGCAGCUGCGCUGUCCUCUAGCUUGGCCAGACUUGGGCUUCUGCUCUUCUGAUUUCAGUCCAAACUUUAACAUACAUAGACACACUUAUCAUGCAUUCAAGCUAGAGGUCUUUACAUAAGCAUAUGACCGUUCUACGUUCACUUUUACAUAUCACGGUCUUAGUUAAGGAUUUUCACGAAAUUAAGGCCAAAUAGGGUCAUGUAAUCAUCAUGCGUACUAAUUAGCCUUAUAUUCACGUAAAUAUAUUACAUAAUCUGCUAAUACACCUGCUCAUAGUGUUCGUAUCAUUUAUCCAUAGCUAGCAUUGAUAUUGCUUUAAAAAACAUACUUAAACGCAUGCUUGGUCUAUUACCAUUAUAUCAACACAUAAGAACCACGUUUAGAGACAUAAUGAACGUAAACAUGUUAUCUUAAAUCUUUAGAAUCUCUUACUCAUACUUAAUGCACUUGAUUUGAAAGCAUAAUCAAGUUUGCCUUUGAAAUUAUUUUAAACUUUGAACGAUGCAAUUCAACACAUACAAGACAACUUUAAGGCUCUUAUCAUAUAUAGUUCAGUCAUGUUAACAUCUUCUCAAGAUCAGAAUGUACAUCAUGUAGUAUUCAUGCAUAUUUGCUUUGAUAUAACAAGUUUUGCCUUGAAAAAGUUCUUUAACACAAGGUCUAACAAGUUAGUCAUGAAUACAAGAACUAUAAAUCAUAACUCAUGCUCAUUUAUGUUAGAAAUCAGUCAUGUAUAUACACUACUAAGCUCAAAAUUUGCAGAACAUGAGUUUCAACAAAGUUCGUUUUCAAAACUUAAAUUUUUGUUAUAAAUUCCUCACUAAAUCACGUUAAUCACCUCAUAAUACAUAAGAAAGCUUUAUAUCUCAUUUUAUACUUUUUUUUAGGUAUAUAUAAGUCAUAAUACCAAAGUAGCAACACAUAGCAUAAGAAAAACCAGAAACUGGUUCUGGGGUAUGGUGCAGCUGCACUGCACCCUAGUAUAAAUUGGGCGCAGUUGCGCCCUACCUGGAACAACAGUAGUAACUUGCUCUGUUUUACAGAGCAUCAAACAACAAUGAUUCUUCUUGGUUUAAACAUGUUCAAUUCCAUCAUUAAAGGUUCCAUAUAUGUACACAUACUUCCUAAACACAUGAUAGCAUGCUAAUUCACAUUGAUGGACAGAGAAUUUCAAGAAAUUUUAAUAAUUUGGCAAAACCCAACUAAGUACAAAAGUUAGGAUUUUUAUACCUCUUGAAGCUUAGUAUACUUAGUUUCUUCCUUCUGAGAUUGCUAGACUCUUCUUUGAACCACAAACACUCAAACUUAAUUUAUCAGAGUUUCAACAGACAAAACAAAUCAAUGUAAAAACUGAGAAUUGAACUGCUAUUUAUAAAGGAAACUUGGACUGGCCAAUGAGUUUAUACUAAGGUUGUAAUUUAUGAUGUAGAAGGUAAACACACUGGUUAUCUAAGAGUUAUUUAACUACCCAACAUUAGCCAUCCUUCUAGCCAAUGAUUACUGCUUGGAAGUUACGUAAUUAGGUGAUAGGUUACUGUUCAUGUACUGUUGGAGCAACUGAUGAGUUUAUUUCCCAGCAACGUGCUUAACUUGCUCAGUUUAGUUACUUUAAUUCCCAUAAAUGAAAUUUUAGUGUAAAAUUGUUACUAUAUUAGGAAAAAUAGGGAUUAUUAAUGUACUCACAUCAUAUAAUCCAUGUAUAUUAGGUACACAUAAUAAAAUAAUGUAGUUAGGUAUUAUUAUCCGGGUAUCUCCUAUAAUUAUUUUUACUACUCACAUAACCACAUUAUAACAUUAUUCAAUAUUAAAUAUUCACUUUAAACAUUUAAUUCCUUUCCCACUUUCUGGAAUUAGGAGUGAGCAUUUGGUUAAUAAUUGAACCGAAUACACAGUUCGGUUAUAACCGAAAAUCGAAUUUACUCUGUUUUUAAUAUCCGAACAACUACCCGAAAUACACGAUAACCGAAUAACCGAACUAAUUAUUCGGUUAUUCGGUUAAUAACCGUAUUUACCAGUUUACUCUUGCUUGCUUAACUUAACAGUACUGAGUACACAACAUGAAUGAUCCAACAUCAAUAAAAAAAAUAACAUAAUCUGAAAUUCUGAAUCAACAACAAUCAACAAUUCAACAACCAGACAUCUAAAAGAUCUAACAGGACAACACCAACUGAGAGUCUUAAGACAACUGAGACAACACCAACUGAUUUAACAGACCAACAGGUCCAACACCAAGAACAAUAACAAAAACAUGAAUGACAGAAUGAGAGUAUGAGACACCAUCACACCAAGUCACCAACAGGACCAACACCAAGUCACCAACUGAGACAAUACUAACAGUUACAGCAAUAACAAAAAUAGAAAUGAUCCAACAAGACAAAUUACACCAUAAUCUGAAUGAUCCAACAUCAACUUACUGACUGAGACACUCAAUAGCAAACUUCCAAACUGCAACAACAGUCAAUGAGCAUGAGACAACUGAGCCAACUUCCAAACUGCAAUGAAUAAAAAGAAAGAAACUACAUCAGUUGCAAAUAAAUUGAUGGACUAAGCUUAUUCUUCAUGUAUAACUUUGAAAUGUGUUUAUGACAUUUCAUGUAAGUAGAGUUAAACAUAAAUUGACUUUUAAAUAACUUUGCAUAACUUUAUUUGCAUAACUUUCAGCUUAUUCUUCAUGAAGUAAUGAUUAUGACAUUUGUGUUUAUUACAUUUCAAAGUUAUACAUGAACACAUUUCAACUUUGAAAGUUAUUCUUCAUGAAGUAAUGAUUAUAGAGUCACUUUCAGCUUUGAAAUGUGUUUAUUUGCAUAACUUUCUUCAAGAGUCAGCUUAUUUGCAUAACUUUCUCAAGGCUAUUUUCUUGUCCGACAUUUUUGUUUAAUUUUUCUUUUCUUCAUCACAACUAGUAGCUGCAGUUCAGAUGUCAGAUCAAAAUGACUCAAAUUUCAGUACUCAUGCCUCAUCAAUCUCAAGCAUGAAAACAGAUAAGGAGAAAACUAUAUGUACAAAUAAAAUAUACAAUCAUCAACAAAAACAAAGUAUCAACUUUUUCCUGAGAAAUUAAGGAACAAAAACAUAGUAUCAACUUUUUCCUAAUUUCUUUUCAAAACCUCAGAAAUUACGCAUGCACAUACACAAUUACACAAAAAUAAAUACACUAAAAAGAUGCACUAAAAAGCAAUCGGUCUUCAAGAAUUUAGUAAAGGUUAAUAAAAAAAUUACCUUAACAAAUGGAAAGCUGUCGCCGCCUCGCCGGCGCCCAGAUCUGAGAGUUCGAGAGUUCACGACGAAGGGUCGCCGGCGCCAAUAGUUCGCGAGUUCGUCUUUGACACUUGAGGCUUGAGAAAAUGAGAGAUCUCAGAUCUGAGUCUCUGAGACUGAGAGUUCGAGAAGAAGACGAGACAGUCGAGACUUGAUACUUGAGAUGAGAUAGAUCACAGAUCUGAUCUGAGGAGUGAGGACUGAGGACUGAGACUCUGCGAGACAGAGAGAGACAGAGAGUACUGAGGUCUGAGAAGGUAAGGAGUAACUGAGGUCUGAGUAAGGACGACUGGACGAGAAGGAGACUGGAGAACUGGAGUGGAGAAGGAGAAGGACUGAGCAGUGAGCAGUAGGCCAGUAGUCUAAAUUAAAUGGGCUAAGACUUAAGAGUUCGAGUCUACAUGAAUACAUU
RNAcentral lists this long non-coding RNA (18847 nucleotides) under Panax ginseng (ginseng). RNAcentral's name for it is "long non-coding RNA (PGIN_LNC003727)". The record is from RNAcentral. Lineage: Eukaryota; Viridiplantae; Streptophyta; Magnoliopsida; Apiales; Araliaceae.